CCUACGGGGGGCUGCAGUGGGGAAUAUUGGACAAUGGGGGGAACCCUGAUCCAGCCAUGCCGCGUGUGUGAAGAAGGCCCUCGGGUUGUAAAGCACUUUCAGUGAGGAAGAACGCCUGGUGGUUAAUACCCAUCAGGAAAGACAUCACUCACAGAAGAAGCACCGGCUAACUCCGUGCCAGCAGCCGCGGUAAUACGGAGGGUGCGAGCGUUAAUCGGAAUUACUGGGCGUAAAGCGCGCGUAGGUGGCUUGAUAAGCCGGUUGUGAAAGCCCCGGGCUCAACCUGAGAACGGCAUCCGGAACUGUCAAGCUAGAGUGCAGGAGAGGAAGGUAGAAUUCCCGGUGUAGCGGUGAAAUGCGUAGAGAUCGGGAGGAAUACCAGUGGCGAAGGCGGCCUUCUGGACUGACACUGACACUGAGGUGCGAAAGCGUGGGUAGCAAACAGGAUUAGAUACCCUGGUAGUC
RNAcentral lists this ribosomal RNA (465 nucleotides) under Vreelandella stevensii. RNAcentral's name for it is "partial 16S ribosomal RNA". It matches the Rfam family "Bacterial small subunit ribosomal RNA", at positions 338 to 795 of the family's 1533-position model. The record is from RNAcentral. Lineage: Bacteria; Pseudomonadati; Pseudomonadota; Gammaproteobacteria; Oceanospirillales; Halomonadaceae.